AGAGUUUGAUCCUGGCUCAGAUUGAACGCUGGCGGCAGGCCUAACACAUGCAAGUCGAACGGUAACAUUUCUAGCUUGCUAGAAGAUGACGAGUGGCGGACGGGUGAGUAAUGCUUGGGAACUUGCCUUUGCGAGGGGGAUAACAGUUGGAAACGACUGCUAAUACCGCAUAAUGUCUUCGGACCAAACGGGGCUUCGGCUCCGGCGCAAAGAGAGGCCCAAGUGAGAUUAGCUAGUUGGUAAGGUAACGGCUUACCAAGGCGACGAUCUCUAGCUGUUCUGAGAGGAAGAUCAGCCACACUGGGACUGAGACACGGCCCAGACUCCUACGGGAGGCAGCAGUGGGGAAUAUUGCACAAUGGGGGAAACCCUGAUGCAGCCAUGCCGCGUGUGUGAAGAAGGCCUUCGGGUUGUAAAGCACUUUCAGUUGUGAGGAAAAGUUAGUAGUUAAUACCUGCUAGCCGUGACGUUAACAACAGAAGAAGCACCGGCUAACUCCGUGCCAGCAGCCGCGGUAAUACGGAGGGUGCGAGCGUUAAUCGGAAUUACUGGGCGUAAAGCGCACGCAGGCGGUUUGUUAAGCUAGAUGUGAAAGCCCCGGGCUCAACCUGGGAUGGUCAUUUAGAACUGGCAGACUAGAGUCUUGGAGAGGGGAGUGGAAUUCCAGGUGUAGCGGUGAAAUGCGUAGAUAUCUGGAGGAACAUCAGUGGCG
RNAcentral lists this ribosomal RNA (712 nucleotides) under uncultured Alteromonas sp. RNAcentral describes it as "bacterial SSU rRNA". It matches the Rfam family "Bacterial small subunit ribosomal RNA", at positions 8 to 717 of the family's 1533-position model. Lineage: Bacteria; Pseudomonadati; Pseudomonadota; Gammaproteobacteria; Alteromonadales; Alteromonadaceae. The record is from RNAcentral.